CUGAAGGUGUCCCUGGCCCCAGCGAUGCCCUCUGGGUGUCCAUCCGCAGAGGGUACACCCUGGGCUCAGCAGAAUGCAAGCUGAAAGUUUCCUCCAGCCCCAUCAGGUACACCGGCUCCUGCUGCUCCGUUUAGGCCGAAAUCUCCUCCCUAGCCUGCUUGGCAGGCAGAGAUCACAAGUGAGCAGAGAGGCAGGCAGAGAGAGAGGAGGAAGCAGGCUCCCUGCUGAGCAGAAAGCCCAAAGUGGGGCUCAAUCCCAGGACCCAGGGAUCAUGACCUGAGCCAAAGGAAGAGGCUUUAACCCACUGAGCCACCCAGGUGCCCCAGUAUUUUAAUUUUUUAAAGAAAUUUUCAGGGUUUUUUGAGUUGUUUUCUUAAUGAUUGCUCUAGGAUUUACCAUGUACAUCAUAAUUUGUCCAAAUCAACUUCCAACUUGUUACACUAGCUUAAUUC
This 452-nucleotide long non-coding RNA is filed under the name Mustela putorius furo (domestic ferret). RNAcentral's name for it is "lncRNA (ENSMPUG00000028821.1)". The record is from RNAcentral. Lineage: Eukaryota; Metazoa; Chordata; Mammalia; Carnivora; Mustelidae.